Molecule: long non-coding RNA, 398 nt
Organism: Beta vulgaris subsp. vulgaris (sugar beet)
Lineage: Eukaryota; Viridiplantae; Streptophyta; Magnoliopsida; Caryophyllales; Amaranthaceae
Exons: 2
Source: RefSeq, a predicted model, not a curated record
GGUAAGAUUUAAAUAUGUACUUCGCUUGUUGCGGUACUACUCUUAGUUGAUGCUAGUGUUCCCACACAGAAGAUAGAUCUUGAUUGUGCUAAUUGGCUCGGACGCAAUAAUAUACCUAUCACCUUUGUCUUUACCAAGUGUGAUAAGAUGAAAGGAGGAAAAGGCGCACGACCUGAAGAAAACAUCAGAAGUUUUCAGGGAUUAAUCAGAGAGAACUACAAGCAACAUCCCCCAUGGAUCAUGACUAGCAGUGUCACCAAUUUAGGCAGAGAUGAACUUCUUCUCCACAUGUCACAGCUAUGAAACUAUUGGGAUGUUUAACUACUACUACACAUUAGAACUGGCAUUUUGUAAGAUUAAAUAGAGAAAUGCCAAAUGAAACUUUAUGUUGCUUGUAA